RNAcentral lists this ribosomal RNA (465 nucleotides) under Vreelandella stevensii. RNAcentral's name for it is "partial 16S ribosomal RNA". It matches the Rfam family "Bacterial small subunit ribosomal RNA", at positions 338 to 795 of the family's 1533-position model. The record is from RNAcentral. Lineage: Bacteria; Pseudomonadati; Pseudomonadota; Gammaproteobacteria; Oceanospirillales; Halomonadaceae.
CCUACGGGAGGCAGCAGUGGGGAAUAUUGGACAAUGGGGGCAACCCUGAUCCAGCCAUGCCGCGUGUGUGAAGAAGGCCCUCGGGCUGUAAAGCACUUUCAGUGAGGAAGAACGCCUGGUGGUUAAUACCCAUCAGGAAAGACAUCACUCACAGAAGAAGCACCGGCUAACUCCGUGCCAGCAGCCGCGGUAAUACGGAGGGUGCGAGCGUUAAUCGGAAUUACUGGGCGUAAAGCGCGCGUAGGUGGCUUGAUAAGCCGGUUGUGAAAGCCCCGGGCUCAACCUGGGAACGGCAUCCGGAACUGUCAAGCUAGAGUGCAGGAGAGGAAGGUAGAAUUCCCGGUGUAGCGGUGAAAUGCGUAGAGAUCGGGAGGAAUACCAGUGGCGAAGGCGGCCUUCUGGACUGACACUGACACUGAGGUGCGAAAGCGUGGGUAGCAAACAGGAUUAGAUACCCGAGUAGUC